GAAACAGCAAACCACAGAUGAGAUGGAUUAUGAUGAUGAUGAAGAUGAAGCUGAAGCUGAAGCUGAGGCCACUGCAGAAAUUGAAGAUGAGAAAAGUGAACAGACAGAUGAGAUUGAUAAUGGUGACGAAGAAGAAAAUGGAGACCGUGGCAAUGAAGAGCAUACGUCUAAGUUACAGUCUACGGAAGAGGACAUAUCAAAUACCAAAACUAGCAAGUCAAAGACCAAAACAACUGUCAAACAGAAGAAAAAGAAAGAAAGACGUAGCAAAAAGGAUUCAGAUAGGUGUGUCUUUGUUGAUGUGGAGGGACUGCAUUUUGAGGUCCACUUUAGAUUCGUCAAUGAACCUCAUAUCUUGUUAGCUCAGGUUGCCCAAAAGACUGCAAAGAAAGUGUAUGUUAAGAACUCUGGUAAAAUCGACCAAUGCAGAAUGGUCAAGUAUGAAGUAACUGAAAAUACUGUGAUGUGGGAUGAAAACCAAACAAAGCAGCAACGCCAAGAUUCUGAUUCUGCUUAUUGGGCCCUGAAAGCAGCUGGAGUGGAUUUUGGUACCUUCUGGGAAAUGCAAGAUGACCUUGAUGUUACCCGUAUAUACACGAAUAAUAUUCGUGCUAUGCUGAACACCUAUGGAGUCGAAGCUGCCCGGGCAUCAAUCUUAAGAGAGGUCAAAACUGUUUUUGGUAUCUAUGGUGUGGAGAUUGAUUUUCGACAUUUGAGUCUAAUAGCCGACUUCAUGACCCAUACGGGUGGAUACCAGCCAAUGAGCAGACAUGGAAGCAUAUCAGAGUCUCUGUCGCCGUUCCUUAAGAUGUCGUUCGAAACAGCUUCAAAAUUCAUAGUCGAAGCAGCUGCUCAUGGUUUAACUGACAACUUGGAGACACCAUCCUCCAGAAUUUGCUUAGGGUUGCCAGUAAAGAUGGGUACUGGUUGUUUUGACAUAAUGCAGGAGCUAGAUAUUUGAAUUUUUUUUUUAAUGUAUAACAGUAUUAGCAUAUGAUGAGUAUUAUUU
This 1009-nucleotide unclassified non-coding RNA is filed under the name Hevea brasiliensis (rubber tree). The record is from RNAcentral. Lineage: Eukaryota; Viridiplantae; Streptophyta; Magnoliopsida; Malpighiales; Euphorbiaceae.